RNAcentral lists this ribosomal RNA (253 nucleotides) under uncultured bacterium. RNAcentral's name for it is "partial 16S ribosomal RNA". It matches the Rfam family "Bacterial small subunit ribosomal RNA", at positions 524 to 776 of the family's 1533-position model. The record is from RNAcentral.
UACGAAGGGGGCUAGCGUUGUUCGGAAUUACUGGGCGUAAAGCGCACGUAGGCGGAUUUGUAAGUCAGGGGUGAAAUCCCGGGGCUCAACCUCGGAACUGCCUUUGAUACUGCAAGUCUCGAGUCCGAUAGAGGUGAGUGGAAUUCCUAGUGUAGAGGUGAAAUUCGUAGAUAUUAGGAAGAACACCAGUGGCGAAGGCGGCUCACUGGAUCGGUACUGACACUGAGGAGCGAAAGCGUGGGUAGCAAACAGG